AUGCAAGUCGAACGAACCUUCGGGUUAGUGGCGGACGGGUGAGUAACGCGUGAGAAUCUGCCCUCAGGAGGGGGAUAACAGCUGGAAACGGCUGCUAAUACCCCAUAUGCCGCGAGGUGAAAUGAAUUUCGCCUGAGGAUGAGCUCGCGUCUGAUUAGCUAGUUGGUGUAGGUAAUGGCUCACCAAGGCAUCGAUCAGUAGCUGGUCUGAGAGGAUGAUCAGCCACACUGGGACUGAGACACGGCCCAGACUCCUACGGGAGGCAGCAGUGGGGAAUUUUCCGCAAUGGGCGAAAGCCUGACGGAGCAACGCCGCGUGAGGGAUGAAGGCCUCUGGGCUGUAAACCUCUUUUAUCAAGGAAGAAGAUCUGACGGUACUUGAUGAAUAAGCCACGGCUAAUUCCG
This 404-nucleotide ribosomal RNA is filed under the name uncultured bacterium. RNAcentral's name for it is "bacterial SSU rRNA". It matches the Rfam family "Bacterial small subunit ribosomal RNA", at positions 55 to 505 of the family's 1533-position model. The record is from RNAcentral.